Molecule: ribosomal RNA, 253 nt
Filed under: uncultured bacterium
Lineage: Bacteria
Description: partial 16S ribosomal RNA
Rfam family: Bacterial small subunit ribosomal RNA
Source: RNAcentral
UACGAAGGGGGCUAGCGUUGUUCGGAAUUACUGGGCGUAAAGCGCACGUAGGCGGACUCUUAAGUCAGGGGUGUAAUCCCGGGGCUCAACCUCGGAACUGCCUUUGAUACUGUGAGUCUCGAGACCGGAAGAGGUGAGUGGAAUUCCUAGUGUAGAGGUGAAAUUCGUAGAUAUUAGGAAGAACACCAGUGGCGAAGACGGCUCACUGGUCCGGUUCUGACGCUGAGGUGCGAAAGCGUGGGUAGCAAACAGG